RNAcentral lists this ribosomal RNA (253 nucleotides) under uncultured bacterium. Its description in RNAcentral is "partial 16S ribosomal RNA". It matches the Rfam family "Bacterial small subunit ribosomal RNA", at positions 524 to 776 of the family's 1533-position model. The record is from RNAcentral.
UACGUAGGGUGCGAGCAUUGUCCGGAAUUAUUGGGCGUAAAGAGCUCGUAGGCGGUCUGUCGCGUCUGGUGUGAAAAUCCAGGGCUUAACCCUGGACCUGCAUCGGGUACGGGCAGACUAGAGUGCGGUAGGGGAGAUCGGAAUUCCUGGUGUAGCGGUGAAAUGCGCAGAUAUCAGGAGGAACACCGGUGGCGAAGGCGGAUCUCUGGGCCGUAACUGACGCUGAGGAGCGAAAGCAUGGGGAGCAAACAGG